RNAcentral lists this ribosomal RNA (943 nucleotides) under uncultured candidate division GN1 bacterium. RNAcentral describes it as "bacterial SSU rRNA". It matches the Rfam family "Bacterial small subunit ribosomal RNA", at positions 408 to 1342 of the family's 1533-position model. The record is from RNAcentral.
AAGAAGGCCGGAAGGUUGUAAAGUCCUUUUGCAGAUGAAGAAUAAGGUGAGGAGGGAAUGCCUCAUCGAUGACGUUAGUUUGUGAAUAAGCCCCGGCUAAUUACGUGCCAGCAGCCGCGGUAAUACGUAUGGGGCAAGCGUUGUCCGGAUUUACUGGGCGUAAAGGGCGCGUAGGCGGUUUGUUAAGUCGAAGGUGAAAUCCUCGGGCUCAACUCGAGAAUUGCCUUCGAUACUGGCAAACUAGAGUGGCGGAGAGGAAAGCGGAACUCUUGGUGUAACGGUGGAAUGUGUAGAUAUCAAGAGGAACACCGGUGGCGAAGGCGGCUUUCUGGACGCACACUGACGCUCAGGCGCGAAAGCGUGGGUAGCAAACAGGAUUAGAUACCCUGGUAGUCCACGCCAUAAACGAUGGGUACUAGGUGUCGGGGGUAUCGACCCCUCCGGUGCCGCAGUUAACGCACUAAGUACCCCGCCUGGGGAUUAUGGUCGCAAGGCUGAAACUCAAAGGAAUUGACGGGGCCCCGCACAAGCGGUGGAGCAUGUGGUUUAAUUCGACGCAACGCGAAGAACCUUACCUGGGCUUGACAUGCUUGGGACAGCGCUGGAAACAGCGUCUCUCCUUCGGGAGCCCUUGCACAGGUGCUGCAUGGCUGUCGUCAGCUCGUGUCGUGAGAUGUUGGGUUAAGUCCCGCAACGAGCGCAACCCUCGUUACUAGUUGCCAUCAGUUCGGCUGGGCACUCUAGUGAGACUGCCGGUGAUAAACCGGAGGAAGGUGAGGAUGAUGUCAAGUCAUCAUGGCCCUUACGCCCAGGGCUACACACGUGCUACAAUGGUCGGCACAAAGGGUCGCUAAGCCGCGAGGUGGAGCUAAUCCCAAAAAGCCGGCCUCAGUUCGGAUUGGAGUCUGCAACCCGACUCCAUGAAGGCGGAAUCGCUAGUAAU